Long non-coding RNA from Etheostoma spectabile (orangethroat darter), 131 nucleotides. RefSeq lists it as uncharacterized. The record is from RefSeq and is a predicted model, not a curated record. Lineage: Eukaryota; Metazoa; Chordata; Actinopteri; Perciformes; Percidae. The transcript has 3 exons.
ACAACUUGUUUUUGCCACAGUGCUGCCAAAUAUCUUUUCCGAAGCUGUAGGGGGAGCUCUAUAGAGAAAACUGCAAGCAAAAAGCGAGAAAACAGAAAUUGACAAAACUGCAAAGUGCCCCUUUAACCUAA